Molecule: long non-coding RNA, 298 nt
Filed under: Astyanax mexicanus (Mexican tetra)
Lineage: Eukaryota; Metazoa; Chordata; Actinopteri; Characiformes; Acestrorhamphidae
Description: lncRNA (ENSAMXG00005020879.1)
Source: RNAcentral
CUCAAACUGCGCAGCUUCAGUUACAAAAACAAAGCGCGGGAUUCUGGGCUGCCGUCCUCCUCAGAACAUAAGGAAGGGUCUUUCCAGCAGAAAGAGAACGACAAGAUUACAGACACGCACUGUCGCCGUUCACCGCCCACUUCACCAGUUAAUACAGGAGAGAGAAGAGUUUAUAAUAUAGAGACUUUUAUACAAAUAAAAGCUUUUAUACAAUUAUAUGAAUGGACAACAUGACAAAAACAUGACACAAACUUUAAAGAGCAAUUUGGUAACAUAAGACUACCUUUAUAAAGGGUUU